UACGUAGGGUGCGAGCGUUAAUCGGAAUUACUGGGCGUAAAGCGUGCGCAGGCGGUUUUGUAAGGCAGAUGUGAAAUCCCCGGGCUUAACCUGGGAAUGGCAUUUGGGACUGCAAGGCUUGAGUGCGGCAGAGGAGACUGGAAUUCCUGGUGUAGCAGUGAAAUGCGUAGAUAUCAGGAGGAACACCAAUGGCGAAGGCAGCUCGCUGGGACGGUACUGACGCUGAUGCACGAAAGCUAGGGGAGCAAACAGG
RNAcentral lists this ribosomal RNA (253 nucleotides) under uncultured bacterium. RNAcentral's name for it is "partial 16S ribosomal RNA". It matches the Rfam family "Bacterial small subunit ribosomal RNA", at positions 524 to 776 of the family's 1533-position model. The record is from RNAcentral.